RNAcentral lists this ribosomal RNA (492 nucleotides) under uncultured bacterium. Its description in RNAcentral is "partial 16S ribosomal RNA". It matches the Rfam family "Bacterial small subunit ribosomal RNA", at positions 29 to 507 of the family's 1533-position model. The record is from RNAcentral.
AGUGAACGCUGGCGGUAGGCCUAACACAUGCAAGUCGAACGGCAGCACAGUAUGCGCUUUCUCUUACGGGUGGCGAGUGGCGGACGGUUGAGGAAUACAUCGGCAUCUACUUUUUCGUGGGGGAUAACGUCGGGAAACUUACGCUAAUACCGCAUACGACCUACGGGUGAAAGCAGGGGAUCUUCGGACCUUGCGCGAUUGAAUGAGCCGAUGUCGGAUUAGCUAGUUGGCGGGGUAAAGGCCCACCAAGGCGACGAUCCGUAGCUGGUCUGAGAGGAAGAACAGGCCAACUGGGACCGGAGAACGGGCCCGAACCCUACGGGAGGGAGCAGUGGGGAAUUUUGGAACAUGGGGGGAAACCUGAUCCAGCCAUACCGCGUGGGUGAAGAAGGCCUUCGGGUUGUAAAGCCCUUUUGUUGGGAAAGAAAAGCAGCAGGUUAAUACCCCGCUGUUCUGACGGUACCCAAAGAAUAAGCACCGGCUAACUUCGUG